GUGAAUCAUCGAAUCUUUGAACGCAUAUUGCGCUCUUUGGUAUUCCGAAGAGCAUGCUUGUUUGAGUAUCAGUAAACACCUCAACCUCCUCUUGAUUUUUCAAAAGGAGGGUGGACUUGAGCUAUCCCAACAACCUUUACCGGUAGGCGGGCGGCUUGAAAUGCAGGUGCAGCUGGACUUUUAUCUGAGCUAAAAGCAUAUCUAUUUAGUCCUCGUCAAACAGGAUUAUUACUAUUGCUGCAGCUAACAUAAAGGAUAAUUGUCCUCAUUGCUGACUGAUGCAGGAUUUUACGACACUUUAUGUGUUGUUCAACUCGAUCUCAAAUCAAGUAAGACUACCCGCUGAACUUAAGCAUAUCAAUAAGCGGAGGA
This 372-nucleotide unclassified non-coding RNA is filed under the name Lasiosphaeriaceae sp. RNAcentral describes it as "partial contains 5.8S ribosomal RNA, internal transcribed spacer 2, and large subunit ribosomal RNA". The stretch from base 1 to 71 matches the Rfam family "5.8S ribosomal RNA", at positions 84 to 154 of the family's 154-position model. The record is from RNAcentral. Lineage: Eukaryota; Fungi; Ascomycota; Sordariomycetes; Sordariales; Lasiosphaeriaceae.